UUAAAUCACCAUUUAAAACUCGAGUGUUUUGUGGCUCUUAAAAACUCGUCAUGUUCACCUUAAAAAAGUCGACGAAUGCAUCCACCUACUACCUAGGAUACUAAUACGAUCAGUCGUCUACAGAAAAUUGUGUUAAAGGUAUUAAACGCUUCAGUGUUUUACAAAAUCUUGCAUAAUUAUACAUUUUUUACCAUAAAAUACCCAAUCAUGGAUCCUAAUAAUUCGAAAAUCUUACCAAGGGAAAGCACCCCACCACCGCCAUAUGCUGAAAGCCCAGGAAUAUUCCCAGCAAGUUUGUUGUACACUAAUGAUCACACGACGCAGCAGCAACAUUUUACACCUGAUUGUAUAAUAAUAGAACAAACUUUGGGUCCAAACCCAGUACACAUGUUUUGUCCGACGUGCUAUAAUAAUAUAAUUACCGAAACCAAUAAAUCACCGUCAAACGAAGCAUAUUUAUGUUGCAUGCUAAUAUUUAUUGUAGGGUGCACAAUAUGUUCAUGUUUACCGUUCUUUAUGAAAUCCUUUCAAAAAGUUGACCACAGAUGUCCUCAGUGUGCGUCUUACUUAGGAACGCAUAAACCAUAAAAACGAAAAUACAUGUAUGUUGCAUACAAACUAUGCUUAAAAACAUACAACUAAUUGAAAUGCAUUGGCAAUUUUACGAUUCUAUUAAAACUUCCAAGUGAAUAUAUCUAUUCAGAUGUAUGGUAAAAAGUUGCUUAUGGCAUUUGAAAAUUGAAUUAGAGAUGUUUAAAAUUCAAAAAAUAUUAACUACCUAUAGUAAUAUACAAUCUGUAUCAUUAAUACAAUAAGAAUAUAUGCUAAGGGUAAUAUGACAGGAAAAAUAAUAUGAUGAAAGGAGCCACCCAUUGAUGACACUUUCUGUUAUAAGGUUUGUAACUACUAUAAGUUAAUAAUUCAUAGUUUCAAAAAACGGAUAUUUCACAGACGUUUUCUAGU
Molecule: RNA transcript, 963 nt
Organism: Metopolophium dirhodum (rose-grain aphid)
Lineage: Eukaryota; Metazoa; Arthropoda; Insecta; Hemiptera; Aphididae
Gene name: lipopolysaccharide-induced tumor necrosis factor-alpha factor-like
Exons: 4
Source: RefSeq, a predicted model, not a curated record